Molecule: ribosomal RNA, 363 nt
Filed under: Austrolittorina antipodum
Lineage: Eukaryota; Metazoa; Mollusca; Gastropoda; Littorinimorpha; Littorinidae
Description: partial 12S ribosomal RNA
Source: RNAcentral
UCAGACAUAAAUAAACCUCUAGUUUACCAGAGUACUACGAGCUAUUAACUUAAAACUCAAAGAGCUUGGCGGUGCUUUAGACUUUUCAGGGGAACCUGUCUCGUAAUCGACAAUCCACGAAUUUACCUUACCUUUUCUCGCAGUCAGUAUGUAUACCGUCGUCGCCAGGUAACUUUUUAAAAUAUAGAAGUUAGCAAGGAAACCCUUUAGUUUUCACGUCAGAUCAAGGUGCAGCCCAUGAAAAGGAGAUGAUGGGUUACAAUUAAAAUUUAUAACUACGGAUAUCAACUUUUAAAAGUUUUUAGAAGGAGGACUUGAAAGUAAAAUUUAGAAGUUAAAUUCUUUGAAUUAAGCUCUGAAGCG